CGGAGGGUGCAAGCGUUAUCCGGAUUCACUGGGUUUAAAGGGUGCGUAGGUGGGGUGGUAAGUCAGUGGUGAAAUCUCCAGGCUUAACUUGGAAACUGCCAUUGAUACUAUCAUUCUUGAAUACCGUGGAGAUGAGCGGAAUAUGUCAUGUAGCGGUGAAAUGCUUAGAUAUGACAUAGAACACCAAUUGCGAAGGCAGCUCGUUACACGAAUAUUGACACUCAGGCACGAAAGCGUGGGGAUCAAACAGGAUUAGAUACCCUGGUAGUCCACGCCCUAAACGAUGGAUACUCGACAUUUGCGAUAAACUGCAAGUGUCUGAGCGAAAGCAUUAAGUAUCCCACCUGGAAGUACGAUCGCAAGAUUG
This 367-nucleotide ribosomal RNA is filed under the name uncultured organism. RNAcentral's name for it is "bacterial SSU rRNA". It matches the Rfam family "Bacterial small subunit ribosomal RNA", at positions 526 to 896 of the family's 1533-position model. The record is from RNAcentral.